This 250-nucleotide ribosomal RNA is filed under the name uncultured bacterium. RNAcentral describes it as "partial 16S ribosomal RNA". It matches the Rfam family "Bacterial small subunit ribosomal RNA", at positions 523 to 769 of the family's 1533-position model. The record is from RNAcentral.
AUACGGAAGGUGCAAGCGUUAAUCGGAAUCACUGGGCGUAAAGCGCUCGUAGGUGGCUUUGUAAGUCAGGUGUGAAAGCCCACGGCUCAACCGUGGAAUUGCACUUGAUACUGCAUUGCUUGAAAAGUUCGGGAGAGGGUAGUGGAAUUCCAGGUGUAGGAGUGAAAUCCGUAGAGAUCUGGAGGAACACCAGUGGCGAAGGCGACUACCUGGACCGAUACUGACACUGAGGAGCGAAAGCGUGGGGAGC